UACGUAGGGGGCUAGCGUUGUCCGGAUUUAUUGGGCGUAAAGAGCGUGUAGGCGGCCAAACAGGUCCGUUGUGAAAACUGGAGGCUCAACCUCCAGACGUCGACGGAAACCGUAUGGCUAGAGUCCGGAAGAGGAGAGUGGAAUUCCUGGUGUAGCGGUGAAAUGCGCAGAUAUCAGGAAGAACACCAAUGGCGAAGGCAGCUCUCUGGGACGGUACUGACGCUGAGACGCGAAAGCGUGGGGAGCGAACAGG
RNAcentral lists this ribosomal RNA (253 nucleotides) under uncultured bacterium. Its description in RNAcentral is "partial 16S ribosomal RNA". It matches the Rfam family "Bacterial small subunit ribosomal RNA", at positions 524 to 776 of the family's 1533-position model. The record is from RNAcentral.